RNAcentral lists this ribosomal RNA (252 nucleotides) under uncultured bacterium. Its description in RNAcentral is "partial 16S ribosomal RNA". It matches the Rfam family "Bacterial small subunit ribosomal RNA", at positions 524 to 776 of the family's 1533-position model. The record is from RNAcentral.
UACGUAGGUCCCGAGCGUUGUCCGGAUUUAUUGGGCGUAAAGCGAGCGCAGGUGGUUUAUUAAGUCUGGUGUAAAAGGCAGUGGCUCAACCAUUGUAUGCAUUGGAAACUGGUAGACUUGAGUGCAGGAGAGGAGAGUGGAGUUCCAUGUGUAGCGGUGAAAUGCGUAGAUAUAUGGAGGAACACCGGUGGCGAAAGCGGCUCUCUGGCCUGUAACUGACGCUGAGGCUCGAAAGCGUGGGGAGCAAACAGG